UACGUAGGGGGCUAGCGUUAUCCGGAAUUAUUGGGCGUAAAGAGCUCGUAGGCGGUCUGUCGCGUCUGCUGUGAAAACUCGGGGCUUAACCCCGGGCCUGCAGUGGGUACGGGCAGACUAGAGUGCGGUAGGGGAGACUGGAAUUCCCGGUGUAGUGGUGAAAUGCGUAGAGAUCGGGAGGAACACCUGUGGCGAAGGCGGCCACCUGGGCCGACCCUGACGCUGAGGCGCGAAGGCGUGGGGAGCGAACGGG
This 253-nucleotide ribosomal RNA is filed under the name uncultured bacterium. RNAcentral's name for it is "partial 16S ribosomal RNA". It matches the Rfam family "Bacterial small subunit ribosomal RNA", at positions 524 to 776 of the family's 1533-position model. The record is from RNAcentral.